UAUUGCUGGAGAAUACGCGUAGC
This 23-nucleotide microRNA is filed under the name Gallus gallus (chicken). Its description in RNAcentral is "Gga-Mir-137-P3-v2_3p (mature (guide))". Lineage: Eukaryota; Metazoa; Chordata; Aves; Galliformes; Phasianidae. The record is from RNAcentral.